AUUGAACGCUGGCGGCAGGCUUAACACAUGCAAGUCGAGCGGAGAGAGGUAGCUUGCUACUGAUCUUAGCGGCGGACGGGUGAGUAAUACUUAGGAAUCUGGCUAUUAGUGGGGGACAACAUUUCGAAAGGGAUGCUAAUACCGCAUACGUCCUACGGGAGAAAGCAGGAGAUCUUCGGACCUUGCGCUAAUAGAUGAGCCUAAGUCGGAUUAGCUAGUUGGUGGGGUAAAGGCCUACCAAGGCGACGAUCUGUAGCGGGUCUGAGAGGAUGAUCCGCCACACUGGGACUGAGACACGGCCCAGACUCCUACGGGAGGCAGCAGUGGGGAAUAUUGGACAAUGGGGGGAACCCUGAUCCAGCCAUGCCGCGUGUGUGAAGAA
This 382-nucleotide ribosomal RNA is filed under the name uncultured bacterium. RNAcentral describes it as "bacterial SSU rRNA". It matches the Rfam family "Bacterial small subunit ribosomal RNA", at positions 30 to 412 of the family's 1533-position model. The record is from RNAcentral.